CCCAGCAAUCGAACCCUCGACCCCCUGGCGUACGGGACGACGCUCCAACCAACUGAGCCACCCGGCCAGGGCUGCACUUACUAUAAUUUAAGCUCCGUGAGAACCAGGGCCGUAUUCUGUUCACUUCCGAAAAGUGCUCUAAUACUUAGGACAGUUCCAGCAAAUGGAAGGAACUCGGUUUAGAAAAUCCUCAAAGGACACAGAAUGACAUUUGUUCUCUGAAACUCAGUCCUGGAUUUAGGGUGACCGGCUCCUCUUGGUCUGCAGGAGACUUUCCCACUUUUAGCGCUGAAGUCCCAAGUCCCAGGAACACCCCCUUCAGUCCUGGGCAAAGCAAGAUGAUUGUUUCCCUGAUUAAAUCCACAAGGUGCUCAAACAAGGCAUUUGGAA
This is a long non-coding RNA of Artibeus jamaicensis (Jamaican fruit-eating bat), 390 nucleotides long. RefSeq lists it as uncharacterized. NCBI's taxonomy places the organism in Eukaryota, Metazoa, Chordata, Mammalia, Chiroptera, Phyllostomidae. The record is from RefSeq and is a predicted model, not a curated record. The transcript is spliced from 3 exons.